Non-coding RNA from Acanthosepion pharaonis, 107 nucleotides. The record is from the annotation of a GenBank genome assembly. NCBI's taxonomy places the organism in Eukaryota, Metazoa, Mollusca, Cephalopoda, Sepiida, Sepiidae.
UUACAGCCAUAUCGACGUUGAAACACUGUACGAUCACCGAAGUUAAGCAACAUCGUACUUGGUCAGUACCUAGUUGGGUGACCGGUUGGGAAUACCAGGCGUUGUAA